This 493-nucleotide ribosomal RNA is filed under the name uncultured bacterium. RNAcentral's name for it is "bacterial SSU rRNA". It matches the Rfam family "Bacterial small subunit ribosomal RNA", at positions 338 to 831 of the family's 1533-position model. The record is from RNAcentral.
CCUACGGGAGGCAGCAGUAAGGAAUAUUGGUCAAUGGAGGCAACUCUGAACCAGCCAUGCCGCGUGCAGGAUGAAGGCCCUAUGGGUCGUAAACUGCUUUUGUACCAGAGAAAACCCGAGUACGUGUACUCGGUUGAUAGUAUGGUAAGAAUAAGCAUCGGCUAACUUCGUGCCAGCAGCCGCGGUAAGACGAAGGAUGCAAGCGUUAUCCGGAUUCAUUGGGUUUAAAGGGUGCGUAGGCGGACUGAUAAGUCAGUGGUGAAAUCUCUCGGCUUAACCGAGAAACUGCCAUUGAUACUGUCAGUCUAGAGUACAGAUGAUGUGGGCGGAAUAUGACAUGUAGCGGUGAAAUGCUUAGAUAUGUCAUAGAACACCGAUUGCGAAGGCAGCUCACAAAACUGUAACUGACGCUGAGCACGAAGUAGNGGGAGUACAACAGAUAGUAUACCUACGUAGUCCGCACCGUAACGAUAGUAUUACUACGUUGUUGUCG